This 367-nucleotide unclassified non-coding RNA is filed under the name Hevea brasiliensis (rubber tree). The record is from RNAcentral. Lineage: Eukaryota; Viridiplantae; Streptophyta; Magnoliopsida; Malpighiales; Euphorbiaceae.
GUUAUCCAGAAUUCUUGGCAUUUUUUGAAUACUGACAGUUUUGGUGUGCUGAUUGCAAGUAACUUUUUGGAUAAGUUAUGAUCAAAAUUUGGGUUUGUUCUCUUCAUGAAAGUUGUAGGGCUACGUAUCAGCUUUCCAUCGGUAUAAGAUUCAGGUCAUUUGGACCUUCCUACACUAAGUUAUAGCCAAAUGAAUGAACACUGUUUAUUUAGUUAUUUUUGUACAGUGGUAGUGUGCCAAUUUCGGGUUUAACCUAAUUGUUCACUAACUUAAUGUCACUUUUAGGGCAUGUUUUUUGCAAAAAAAUUGUGGCAUUAUGUGUUUACUUUUAUCUUCAAUUGGACUCACACCAAUUGGAGUGGCAGAA